UUACGUGUAUUAAUCUUGGCUGUCCCCAUACUUGACACCUCAUCCACAUCAACUACACCAACUUGAAUACAGAGAGACAGGCUGAUGUCUAGAGAUUAGAGUCUGAGAAAGACAGAGCGAGCCGUGAGGGAGUGGUGGAGGCGCGUAGCCAUGGAGGAGCAAGGCGGCGCCAACUGAUUCCGGUGCGUCAACAACCCCAACCAACAAAACAACGACUGAGAGAGAGUUGUGAGGGAGUGGCGGCUGAACACCGCCCCCGGUGGCGGAGCGAUGGAGGAGCACGACAGCGCCACCUGAUUCCAGGGUGUCAACGACCCCAACCACGGAACAACGGUUGAGGGUUUCAGAGAGAGAAAGAGGCUGUGUACACGGUGGCCAUGUCGACGGUUAGCAUUCCGACCAGAUUUCGAUCUAAAGAGCAGUACCAGCAAGGAGAACCAGGUGAAGAUCCGGUGAGCAGAUUGAAGCCUGUACGAGAGCUCUUCAAGUGAAUCGGCAACACUCCAGGCCUACUCUACAUAUAAGAAACAGUGAAGCGGAGUAGGGCACAGUUGGAAUAGGGCUGGUUAUGUCAAAUUGGUGGCUACUUGUGAAAUUCCGGUUACACCCGUUUGGAACGCCAGUGUCCACAGGUCAGAGGUAAAGCAUGGUGAUUGGCUUGGUGAAGAUUUGAAGUUCUUGAGGUCUGUCUCGGUAAUGGUUGAUGAGAGUCAAGAAUAGGUCAAAUCGGUCAACAUAGAAACUCAGGUCAGAACCCAGUCAAACGAUGGAAGUUCCAGUGGCCACUUCUAUAUUUUGAUAUUUGGCUUUUUAACAUAGGUUUGGGUUGCAGUUGCCUUUAAAACCUUUUGUAUCUUCAAAUGCUUAUAAACAAUCACUUAGAGUUUUUGAAAUGUGAAUUGUCAUGUUUCCUACAGUAUUUUGCUGCUUAAUAUGUUUAUAAUCAUGGUUUUAAAAGACCUAUGUAUAUGGAAUAUAUUAGUUUAUUGUUGUAAUCAGAGUUUUAGAAAAUUAAGUAAAAACUUGAAACCUUUUUUUACCAUUCCCUGCUGAUUACUAAUCCUACAUCUUCAUACUUGCGUGUACUUUUUAUUAUUAGACAAAAAAAUGCUUGAUUCAUGUUUAAUAAUGCUUCCCUGCCUUUAGUAACGAUGCAUAGGUUUUUUUACUCAUGAUCUUGAAUCUCUUAUCAUAUUUGUAAUUAAUGGUUCUUCUUGUGAAACUUAGCAUUACAGGUCACUUGAUAUGACAUUUUUGCUUUAUAAUAGAUUAUAUGCUCUACCCUUUGUACAUAUUCAGCUUCAUAUUAAGCACUAUCAGGUAUAAUGAUAUUGCUUUGUUUGGUCUUACGGUCACUGAAAAAGAUGGGCCAACUAAUGUAGCUCCUCCAUCUACCCAAAAGGAACCUUCUACUUACCUUGGGCUGUAGUAUUAUAUGUAAAUCGCGCAACGCUCGACUGGGGAAUGACCCUAGUUUGACUAAAGCAAAAACGUAUAAUAC
Helianthus annuus (common sunflower) is the source of this 1501-nucleotide long non-coding RNA. RefSeq lists it as uncharacterized. NCBI's taxonomy places the organism in Eukaryota, Viridiplantae, Streptophyta, Magnoliopsida, Asterales, Asteraceae. The record is from RefSeq and is a predicted model, not a curated record. The transcript has 4 exons.